Small nuclear RNA from Trichosurus vulpecula (common brushtail), 156 nucleotides. RefSeq annotates it as U1 spliceosomal RNA. The transcript has a single exon. The record is from RefSeq and is a predicted model, not a curated record. Lineage: Eukaryota; Metazoa; Chordata; Mammalia; Diprotodontia; Phalangeridae.
CUACUUGCCUGGCAGGGAGACAUCACCUUAAAGAAAGCAGAUUUCCCAGGGUGAGGCACAUUCAUUGAAUUCCAGGUGUGCUGGUCCCAGAAAUUUCCCCAAGUAAGAAACUGCAGAAUUUAUCCUAAGAAGAACUGUCUUUGUAGUUUUUCCUCU